GACGAACGCUGGCGGCGUGCCUAACACAUGCAAGUCGAGCGGAGUUGACAAGAGGAAGUUUUCGGAUGGAAUCUUGCCAGCUUAGCGGCGGACGGGUGAGUAACGCGUGAGCGACCAACCUUGCACAGGGGGAUAACGGACCGAAAGGUUCACUAAUACCGCAUGAGACCACGGUGUUGCAUGACACAGGGGUCAAAGGAGGAAUCCGGUGCAAGACGGGCUCGCGUCCGAUUAGGUAGGUGGAGGGGUAACGGCCCACGAAGCCUAUGAUCGGUAGCCGACCUGAGAGGGUGAUCGGCCACAUUGGAACUGAGAUACGGUCCAAACUCCUACGGGAGGCAGCAGUGGGGAAUAUUGGGCAAUGGGGGAAACCCUGACCCAGCAACGCCGCGUGAAGGAAGAAGGUUUUCGGAUUGUAAACUUCUGUCCUUGGUGAAGAGAAGAAGACGGUAGCCAAGGAGGAAGCCCCGGCUAACUACGUGCCAGCCGCCGCGGUAA
RNAcentral lists this ribosomal RNA (498 nucleotides) under uncultured bacterium. RNAcentral describes it as "partial 16S ribosomal RNA". It matches the Rfam family "Bacterial small subunit ribosomal RNA", at positions 28 to 523 of the family's 1533-position model. The record is from RNAcentral.